Molecule: transfer RNA, 71 nt
Filed under: Pseudomonas aeruginosa
Lineage: Bacteria; Pseudomonadati; Pseudomonadota; Gammaproteobacteria; Pseudomonadales; Pseudomonadaceae
Also listed under: 1 other name
Description: tRNA-Arg
Source: RNAcentral
UGGUCCGUAGCUCAAUUGGUUAGAGCAUCCCCCUCCUAAGGGGAAGGUUGGAGGUUCUUAUCUGGGGUGGA